GAUGAACGCUGGCGGCGUGCCUAAUACGUGCAAGUCGAGCGAACAGACGAGGAGCUUGCUCCUCUGACGUUAGCGGCGGACGGGUGAGUAACACGUGGAUAACCUACCUAUAAGACUGGGAUAACUUCGGGAAACCGGAGCUAAUACCGGAUAAUAUAUUGAACCGCAUGGUUCAAUAGUGAAAGACGGUUUUGCUGUCACUUAUAGAUGGAUCCGCGCCGCAUUAGCUAGUUGGUAAGGUAACGGCUUACCAAGGCAACGAUGCGUAGCCGACCUGAGAGGGUGAUCGGCCACACUGGAACUGAGACACGGUCCAGACUCCUACGGGAGGCAGCAGUAGGGAAUCUUCCGCAAUGGGCGAAAGCCUGACGGAGCAACGCCGCGUGAGUGAUGAAGGUCUUCGGAUCGUAAAACUCUGUUAUUAGGGAAGAACAAAUGUGUAAGUAGCUAUGCGCGUCUUGACGGUACCUAAUCAGAAAGCCACGGCUAACUACGUG
This 497-nucleotide ribosomal RNA is filed under the name uncultured bacterium. RNAcentral's name for it is "partial 16S ribosomal RNA". It matches the Rfam family "Bacterial small subunit ribosomal RNA", at positions 28 to 507 of the family's 1533-position model. The record is from RNAcentral.